CAGACGAUUUUUAUUAAUGUUUGGUGACUUAUUGGGUUGUGUCCUUUAAAUGGUAAUUGUGUAUACAUGUAUUCCAAAACUUGAAAGGAAAAAUCCAGUCAGGGCCGAGAACAAGACAACUUAAACCUUCAAUAAAGACAACUCAGUGCAUACAACCUUCAACAAUACGGAACACAUAAAGUCCCAGCAUGAAUAACCUGAAUAAGGUGAACAAAUUCAAACAAGAAAACCAUCGACCUGAUUGUUGCUAAAACAAACAAAGCUCAUAACCAACAAAAACAGAGAAAAACUCACCAACUACAAGAUGAAAACAAAGGAAAAAUAGAAACACAGAAGUGCAAGAAAAACAUUUAACUCCAUCACACAUAGACACGAAAUUUUUGAUAACAACUGACAUAUUCCUGACUUGGUAAAGGGCAUAGUAAACAAAAAUUGUGAGUUGAACCUCGUUCGAUGGCAUGCCAAAACUCCCGCUUUAUGACAAUGUUAAAAAUAUCGCCAAAACACUACCUGACAGGAAUACAACACAAACACACUCAAGAACAUCCAUAACAAAGACACACACACAAAUAAUAUAAUAGUGGACACAACAUGCAAACCGCAGAACAACAACAACGAACAUAUUCCGCAACGACCACAAGAUAUCAAAAACAGUGACGUCCUUACGUUACUAACAUGCUAUUUCGAAAUUUAAACAAUUAAUCUACAAUUUUCUUCCAACAAAUGUACAAGACAAUGAUGGUAUGAAAAGUCAAUUUUAUAACUAUUGUGACUGCAAACGAUAAGACAUAGUAGAUUAAUCAACCGAACAUCAACAAUAGAACCAUGAAUGUGAAACCUCGGACUUGAAUGACAAGUGAUUAUAGUUUUAUUGACAAAAUUGGGUGCACAUCCCACACAUGCAUUCUAGUAAAAAGUAAAAUCCCAAAAUACUGAACUCUGAGGAAAAUUCAAAACGGAAAGUCCCUAGUCAAAUGGCAAAAUCAAAUGAUAAAACACAUCAAACGAAUGGACAACA
Molecule: long non-coding RNA, 1018 nt
Filed under: Mytilus galloprovincialis (Mediterranean mussel)
Lineage: Eukaryota; Metazoa; Mollusca; Bivalvia; Mytilida; Mytilidae
Source: RNAcentral